CAGUACGACACGAGGAGAAAGUGCCAUGUC
Molecule: non-coding RNA, 30 nt
Filed under: Homo sapiens (human)
Lineage: Eukaryota; Metazoa; Chordata; Mammalia; Primates; Hominidae
Source: RNAcentral